AUACCUGAUUUUAGGUAAAGUAGAGGUACUGUGUUAAAUUUAUGCCUUUGUUAAGUUAAUAUUAUUAUUUUACCAGUCCGCUAGAAAAAGUUUCGCAUAGCCUACAAGAUACAUAGGAUGAUUUUACACUAGAGUGAAAUCACACAAAUACGUCAUAGAUCUGGCAAGAAGAAUAAAAAAAGAACGAAAAGGAACAGGAGCUCAACAUACAGUACAUCUUAUACAACGUGAGUAGCUUUGUCCUAGCACUGCUAAAGACUUAGGAUAAAUUAUCUGUAAAAAGAUAUUCGUAUAAAAAAACGUAAUAGGGUAAUUUCGGAUAACGACAUAUUGCUGUAGUGGUCCGCAGCAUAGGACAAGCCCGGUUAGUUAAAUCGCAAUUUACAAAAAUUACACAAAGCAUAUAUUCAUUGCAAACUUACAAAAUGUACAGGUACAAAUUAGUUUACGCGUCUUCUUCGUUUGUAUUGUCGAAAAACAGUCAUUUUGGGAAGCGCAUUGUCCCGCUUUUUUCGAUUGAGCGUUUUCGCAUUACUUGCAUUCGGCUCCAGCGGUCGCCAUGAAAUUUCAACCCUGUGUAAACUUUUAAGGCCUGUAAAUGCCGAGCGGAACACGGUCUCUGGCAGUAGUAAGUUGUCUUGUAGAAAGAUACCUAUAAUGUGUUUACACACUAUGUUAAAAUUCUCGGCAUAUGCUAUACAUGACUGAAGUAAAUUCCACACGCAACAGAUUUCGCAUCUUUU
Ciona intestinalis (vase tunicate) is the source of this 743-nucleotide non-coding RNA. The record is from RefSeq and is a predicted model, not a curated record. NCBI's taxonomy places the organism in Eukaryota, Metazoa, Chordata, Ascidiacea, Phlebobranchia, Cionidae.